Molecule: ribosomal RNA, 253 nt
Filed under: uncultured bacterium
Lineage: Bacteria
Description: partial 16S ribosomal RNA
Rfam family: Bacterial small subunit ribosomal RNA
Source: RNAcentral
UACGUAGGGGGCAAGCGUUGUCCGGAAUCAUUGGGCGUAAAGAGCGUGUAGGCGGUCCGGUAAGUCGGCUGUGAAAGUCCAGGGCUCAACCCUGGGAUGCCGGUCGAUACUGCCGGACUAGAGUUCGGAAGAGGCGAGUGGAAUUCCCGGUGUAGCGGUGAAAUGCGCAGAUAUCAGGAGGAACACCGGUGGCGAAGGCGGAUCUCUGGGCCUUACCUGACGCUGAGGCGCGAAAGCUAGGGGAGCGAACAGG